RNAcentral lists this non-coding RNA (185 nucleotides) under Segatella baroniae B14. The record is from RNAcentral. Lineage: Bacteria; Pseudomonadati; Bacteroidota; Bacteroidia; Bacteroidales; Prevotellaceae.
UACAUUUGCAUCCGCAAUAGGUUCAUCCGCCAUUGAUUAAAAAGGGAAUCAGGUGAAACUCCUGAACAGUCCCGCUGCUGUAAGCGGUUGUUGUCUAAAAUGCAUCAUGCCACUGAACUUUGUUUGGGAAGGCGCAUUUUGGAAAGCCGUAAAGUCAGAAGACCUGCCAUUGCGUAAAUAUUAUU